UUUUUCGAUGGUUUUUUGUUUCAAAACAAGAACGCAAAAAUAAUCAGAGAAAGUUCGACAAUGAAAGGUGAUAAGGAUUACCAUGAGUUGAUAAGGAGUCUCCAUCAAAAUCUACAGAAAAUAAGCUCUUCAAUGACUAUAAUGCUCCCUAGAAUCAUCCUCCAAAAGCUCAUAGCCGUCACUUUCUAUAAAAAUUUGGAACCUCUAAAAAGUACCUAAAAU
Molecule: long non-coding RNA, 222 nt
Filed under: Lathyrus oleraceus (garden pea)
Lineage: Eukaryota; Viridiplantae; Streptophyta; Magnoliopsida; Fabales; Fabaceae
Description: Pisum sativum (pea) long non-coding RNA (PSAT_LNC019862)
Source: RNAcentral